UACGAAGGGGGCUAGCGUUGCUCGGAAUGACUGGGCGUAAAGGGCGCGUAGGCGGUUCGUACAGUCAGACGUGAAAUUCCCGGGCUCAACCUGGGGGCUGCGUUUGGAUACGUACGGGCUUGAGUUCGGAAGAGGGUCGUGGAAUUCCCAGUGUAGAGGUGAAAUUCGUAGAUAUUGGGAAGAACACCGGUGGCGAAGGCGGCGACCUGGUCCGAUACUGACGCUGAGGCGCGAAAGCGUGGGGAGCAAACAGG
Molecule: ribosomal RNA, 254 nt
Filed under: uncultured bacterium
Lineage: Bacteria
Description: partial 16S ribosomal RNA
Rfam family: Bacterial small subunit ribosomal RNA
Source: RNAcentral